AAAAAAGGUAAGCUACUAAGAGCGAAUGGUGGAUGCCUUGACUGGUAAAGGCGAUGAAGGACGUACUAGACUGCGAUAAGCUACGGGGAGCUGUCAAGAAGCUUUGAUCCGUAGAUUUCCGAAUGGGGCAACCCAAUGUAUAGAGAUAUACAUUACCUAUAUAGGAGCGAACGAGGGGAAUUGAAACAUCUUAGUACCCUCAGGAAAAGAAAUCAAUAGAGAUUGCGUCAGUAGCGGCGAGCGAAAGCGCAAGAGGGCAAACCCAGUGCUUGCACUGGGGGUUGUAGGACUGCAAUGUGCAAGAGGUGAGUUUAGCAGAACAUUCUGGAAAGUAUAGCCAUAGAGGGUGAUAGUCCCGUAUGCGAAAAACAAACCUUAGCUAGCAGUAUCCUGAGUAGGGCGGGACACGAGAAAUCCUGUCUGAAGCUGGGUCGACCACGAUCCAACCCUAAAUACUAAUACCAGAUCGAUAGUGCACAAGUACCGUGAGGGAAAGGUGAAAAGAACUGAGGUGAUCAGAGUGAAAUAGAACCUGAAACCAUUUGCUUACAAUCAUUCAGAGCCCUAUGUAGCAAUACAGGGUGAUGGACUGCCUUUUGCAUAAUGAGCCUGCGAGUUGUGGUGUCUGGCAAGGUUAAGCAAACGCGAAGCCGUAGCGAAAGCGAGUCUGAAUAGGGCGCUUAGUCAGAUGCUGCAGACCCGAAACGAAGUGAUCUAUCCAUGAGCAAGUUGAAGCUAGUGUAAGAACUAGUGGAGGACUGAACCCAUAGGCGUUGAAAAGCCCCGGGAUGACUUGUGGAUAGGGGUGAAAGGCCAAUCAAACUUCGUGAUAGCUGGUUCUCUCCGAAAUAUAUUUAGGUAUAGCGUUGUGUCGUAAUAUAAGGGGGUAGAGCACUGAAUGGGCUAGGGCAUACACCAAUGUACCAAACCCUAUCAAACUCCGAAUACCUUAUAUGUAAUCACAGCAGUCAGGCGGCGAGUGAUAAAAUCCGUCGUCAAGAGGGAAACAACCCAGACUACCAGCUAAGGUCCCUAAAUCUUACUUAAGUGGAAAACGAUGUGAAGUUACUUAAACAACCAGGAGGUUGGCUUAGAAGCAGCCAUCCUUUAAAGAAAGCG
Molecule: ribosomal RNA, 1119 nt
Filed under: Campylobacter coli
Lineage: Bacteria; Pseudomonadati; Campylobacterota; Epsilonproteobacteria; Campylobacterales; Campylobacteraceae
Description: partial 23S ribosomal RNA
Rfam family: Bacterial large subunit ribosomal RNA
Source: RNAcentral